Non-coding RNA from Caenorhabditis elegans, 99 nucleotides. Lineage: Eukaryota; Metazoa; Nematoda; Chromadorea; Rhabditida; Rhabditidae. The record is from Ensembl.
AAACAAAGACAGGUGUUGCGAAUGAGCCCAGCCAAUGAUAUGUGUUAUGUGAUCUUUGCAAAACGGGUUCGGGAAGAGUUGCAAAAAUUAUCUUCACUU